RNAcentral lists this transfer RNA (72 nucleotides) under Bos taurus (domestic cattle). It matches the Rfam family "tRNA". Rfam says of the family: Transfer RNA (tRNA) molecules are approximately 80 nucleotides in length. Their secondary structure includes four short double-helical elements and three loops (D, anti-codon, and T loops). The record is from Rfam by way of RNAcentral. Lineage: Eukaryota; Metazoa; Chordata; Mammalia; Artiodactyla; Bovidae. RNAcentral also lists the same sequence under 3 other names.
UCCCUGGUGGCUUAGAGGGUAAAGCGUCUGCCUGCAAUGCAGGAGACCCAGGUUCAAUCCCUGGGUCGGGAA